GGCGUUAAGUUGCAGGGUAUAGACCCGAAACCCGGUGAUCUAGCCAUGGGCAGGUUGAAGGUUGGGUAACACUAACUGGAGGACCGAACCGACUAAUGUUGAAAAAUUAGCGGAUGACCUGUGGCUGGGGGUGAAAGGCCAAUCAAACCGGGAGAUAGCUGGUUCUCCCCGAAAGCUAUUUAGGUAGCGCCUCGUGAAUUCAUCUCCGGGGGUAGAGCACUGUUUCGGCUAGGGGGCCAUCCCGGCUUACCAACCCGAUGCAAACUGCGAAUACCGGAGAAUGUUAUCACGGGAGACACACGGCGGGUGCUAACGUCCGUCGUGAAGAGGGAAACAACCCAGACCGCCAGCUAAGGUCCCAAAGUCAUGGUUAAGUGGGAAACGAUGUGGGAAGGCCCAGACAGCCAGGAUGUUGGCUUAGAAGCAGCCAUCAUUUAAAGAAAGCGUAAUAGCUCACUGGUCGAGUCGGCCUGCGCG
This 477-nucleotide ribosomal RNA is filed under the name Salmonella enterica. RNAcentral describes it as "bacterial LSU rRNA". It matches the Rfam family "Bacterial large subunit ribosomal RNA", at positions 691 to 1165 of the family's 2925-position model. RNAcentral also lists the same sequence under 2 other names. Lineage: Bacteria; Pseudomonadati; Pseudomonadota; Gammaproteobacteria; Enterobacterales; Enterobacteriaceae. The record is from RNAcentral.